Molecule: non-coding RNA, 118 nt
Filed under: Lentibacillus amyloliquefaciens
Lineage: Bacteria; Bacillati; Bacillota; Bacilli; Caryophanales; Bacillaceae
Description: TPP sequence
Rfam family: TPP riboswitch aptamer (THI element)
About the family: Vitamin B(1) in its active form thiamin pyrophosphate (TPP) is an essential coenzyme that is synthesised by coupling of pyrimidine and thiazole moieties in bacteria. The previously detected thiamin-regulatory element, thi box was extended, resulting in a new, highly conserved RNA secondary structure, the THI element, which is widely distributed in eubacteria and also occurs in some archaea.
Source: Rfam by way of RNAcentral
UAUAACUACUAGGGGUGCCCAAAAAACGCGGGCUGAGAGGAAAGGCGUCUACAAGCUUUCCGACUCUUACGGACCUGAUCUGGCUAACACCAGCGUAGGGAAGUAGUCUGACAGCAAU